Molecule: ribosomal RNA, 468 nt
Filed under: uncultured bacterium
Lineage: Bacteria
Description: partial 16S ribosomal RNA
Rfam family: Bacterial small subunit ribosomal RNA
Source: RNAcentral
GACGAACGCUGGCGGCGUGCUUAACACAUGCCAGUCGAACGGAAAGGCCCUGCUCUUGUGGGGUGCUCGAUUGGCGCACGGGUGAGUAACACGUGAGUAACCUGCCCUUGACUUUGGGAUAACUUCAGGAAACUGGGGCUAAUACCGGAUAGGAGCUCCUGCUGCAUGGUGGUGGUUGGAAAGUUUCGGCGGUUGGGGAUGGACUCGCGGCUUAUCAGCUUGUUGGUGGGGUAGUGGCUUACCAAGGCUUUGACGGGUAGCCGGCCUGAGAGGGUGACCGGCCACAAUGGGACUGAGAUACGGCCCAGACUCCUACGGGAGGCAGCAGUGGGGAAUAUUGCACAAUGGGCGGAAGCCUGAUGCAGCAACGCCGCGUGCGGGAUGACGGCCUUCGGGUUGUAAACCGCUUUCGCCUGUGACGAAGCGUGAGUGACGGUAAUGGGUAAAGAAGCACCGGCUAACUACGUG